GAUGAACGCUAGCUACAGGCUUAACACAUGCAAGUCGAGGGACCGGCGCACGGGUGAGUAACACGUAUCCAACCUGCCCUUUACUCGGGGAUAGCCUUUCGAAAGAAAGAUUAAUACCCGACAUAGAGGAUGGGGAUGCGUUACAGUAGGUUGUUGGUGCGGUAACGGCGUACCAAGCCUUCGAUGGUUAGGGGUUCUGAGAGGAAGGUCGCCCACAGUGGAACUGGGACACGGUCCAAACUCGUACCGGAGGCAGAAGUGUGGAAUAUUGGUCAAUGGGCGGUAGCCUGAACCAGCCAAGUAGCGUGAAGGAUGAAGGCUUAUGGGGCGUACACUUCUUUUAUAGAAGAAUAUGUAUUAUAUGAAUAAGGAUCGGCUAACUCCGUGCCAGCAGCCGCGGUAAUUC
Molecule: ribosomal RNA, 406 nt
Filed under: uncultured bacterium
Lineage: Bacteria
Description: partial 16S ribosomal RNA
Rfam family: Bacterial small subunit ribosomal RNA
Source: RNAcentral